AUAACAAUGGGAAGUGGGAUUUGGUUCUCACUGAUGAUUCCAUAGUUAAUGAGCCUUUUUCUGUGAAGAUAGUGAGUUGUGUCCUUUUCUCCUCUUUAGGGAGAUAAAGAGAAAAAAAAAAGGAGCCAAGAACAGACAGCUGCCUGCAGACCCAGCUGUGCCCCACAGCACGGUGAAGGGGUGAAGGUCUCCUGGCAUUUGUUUCUCAAUGAUACUUACAAAAAGGAAGACUAUUAAUGGCUCCUCAUCAGUUCUACUUACUACUCCAGUUUCUGUUUCAUCAAAACGUUUCCUGCAACAGGCACAUAGACACCGGCUUUAUUUAACCCUGUCUGUUUCUAAUGACUUCGUGGGCGCUUGUUCAUUUGGAGUUGGCCUGGCUGCUGCCUCUGUCUGGAAUAUUCUUCACAGGCCUUGCUCAUACCUCUUUAUCUGGGUCAGUUCCUGCUCUGCCUUUGAUGUCAACCUACUUCCUCAAGACAUCUCUUGAAAUGAUGUCAAGCUGGUGACAGGCCAGCCAGUUGGAAGGCUGAGAUUUCCUUGCAGCUCACCCAUAAGGACUACACAUAGAAGAGACAGGGUGGAACCUUGUAAGUAGAGUUUGUAACUUCAGCUGCCAGAUGUCUCCGAGAGUCAAGGGGCUAUAGGUACUGCAGGUCUUACCUGGUUGUGGACAGAUAUUGCUGUUGGGGGAGGCCAACUCUGAGAUGAAGGUAAGUGUGUAGCAAAUUAGAGAGUUCUCUGGGCCCAUAGGGAAAAGAAAACAAGUAGGGUGCAGGGGAAGUUGAGCUAAUCUCAAUAGAAUUCUGGAACUAAAAUGAUCUUUUAGAGCUGUCUAUAAAGGUGUAACCUUGGGGAUGAAUCUUCUCGUGAGGGCCCAUAUCUGGGCUGCCUGUGUGUGAUGCUCCCAACCUCUUGACAGGUCUGGGAAUGCAGCACAGAGUUGGCACAUAUGUCUUUUGUUGUGAGAGUCUCCCAGAGUGGCAGAUGCCCAUCAUUUUCUGUAGUUAUGUCUUCACUGGGCUUAGAAUGUCUUUACUGUUUUCAAAGUUUUUUCUUCAUGGUAAACAAAAGCCAAGCCAAGCCAGACAUGGUGGUACAUGCCAGUGAUGCCAACACCUGGAGGCUGAAGCAAGAGUGUUACUGCAAGUACAGGACCGAUCUGAGCUAUACAUAGUUGAGUUAGAGGGCAGCCUGGGCUACACAGUAAGAUUCUGUCUCUAAAUAGCUGGGUGUUUGUUUGUUUGUUUUUAAAAGCAAACUUUAUAUUAAAUAAGAGAUGCUUUCUUGCUAAUUCUCAUUUAAAAUAUCAGAUCAGAGAAACCAAAUGACACUUGAACUAUCUAAUAGAUUUCUAUAAUUUCUAUAAUAUCUGAUAGCUGUAUUUCCUUUUAUAGCCUUUCUUGACUUUACAAACCUAAUUUAUUUGCUGUUUUUUUAAAAAUAUGUUUCUUCUCUAGUUAUCUGUUAUAAUUCAUUAAACAUUAUUUUAAAAGCUAGCUUCUUCACUCUCUGGCAGUUAUUUCCUUUCAUUAUUUCAUUUCAUCUCAUUUUGUGGUACUGAGGAUUGAACUCAGGACCUUGAGUGUGACAGUCAAAUAUUCUCUUUCCAAGCUACAUUUCCAACCCAUUCUCCCCUGAGUUUUUAAAAUUGGAAAACUCCACUUAAUAUGUAGCAUGUAGAGUGAGAUCUACUACCUACAUGUGGGCUAACUAGUCAGACUACAGGGGAAAUAGUGUAGCUUAGGCCUCCUUAAGCUUGAGGUCAACAAAGAUUCUCAUGUCUUUUUCCACAUAGAUUGUUUGCAGCUCAACAUUUUUAUAUGUGGACCUAUGAAAUUUGUCAACAAGGUCACUGGACCAAAGCUAAAUGGUCCCUUUUAGCCUUUUUUUAUUACAUGGCAUUUAUAACCAGAUUUAUUCUAAAACAGUAAAAUCUGAUGUUUAUUCAAUCCCUGUAGUGUGCUGGACACACCAUUUCAACAUGCCUGCAUGCUGUUUUUCCUUUGAUUGAGAAGGCAAUGGAAACACCCAUGGAUUAAGAGAACCCUUGGACUAAGUGCACUGUGGAUUAAGUACAAGUAACUUUCCCAAAGUUAUGAAGUCAGUUAAUGGAGGAGUCCAGAUUUCAUAUCUUGUAGUCUAGUUUAAAAAAAAAAAAAACUUCUUCAAUGUAUUUUGAUCUAGUCUUGCAAUGAGGUUGUCAGGUAAAAAUAUAAGGAAUUUAUUAGGGAGAUGUCUUACUUACAGAGUGAGCUAGCCAGCCAUCAGGGCAGGAGUAAGUACAGCAAGCUGAUGAGGAAACGGAAGAAGGGAGUUCCACGUGCGUGCCCCUCACUCUUAAAUCUUCCCUUCAUCACUCUCCCACGCGUGGUCAGGCAUACCUGUAGCCAGCCCCUAGCAGGUGUCCCCUACAGUCUUGAUUUAAAUUUUUAGAUUUAUUUGUAUUUUGUUUUUUGUGUAAUGAAUGUUUUGCAUGCGUGUUAGUCAGUUUUGGUUCAAUGUUGUAAGAAACCAUGACCAAGGCAACUCAUAGAGGGAAGGUUUAUAUGGGGCUUAUGGUUCCAGGAAGAUAUAGUUAGGGUUUCUAUUGCUGUGAAGAGACACCAUGACCCUGGCAACUGUUAUAAAGGAAAAAAUUUAAUUAGGGCUGGCUUACAGUUUCAGAGGUCCCUUAUCAUUAUGGUGAGAAGUAUGGUGGCAUGCUGGCAUACAUGGUGCUGAGAGUUCUACAUUUUGAUCUUCAGGCAGUAGCAGGAGGCUGUGCCACACUAGGCCUAGUCUGAGCACAUAAGACCUCAAAGCCAGCUUCCACAGUGACAAACUUCCUCCAGUAAGUCCACACCUACUCUUUGCAGGCCACACUUCCUGACAGUGCCACUCCCUAGGGCCCAGGCAUUCAAACACAUGAGUCUAUGGGGGCCAUUCCUAUUCAAACCGCCACGUCCAUCAUGGCAGGGAGCAUGGCAGCAGGCAGGCAGGCAGGCACUAGAGCAGCCAAGGAGAGCUCACAUCUUGAUCCACAACCAGGAAGCAAUGAGAGCCCAUUGGGAACAGCUCCAGUCUUUUGAAACCUUAAAGCUUGCCCGCAUUGACAUACUUUCUCCAAUGAGGCCACACCUCCUAAUUGUUCCCAAGUAGUUCCACCAACUUUGGACCAUAUAGUUGUUUUAGUUAGGGCUCCUAUUGCUGUAUAGAGAAACCAUGACUACAGCAACUCUUAGAAAGGAGAACAUUUAUUUAUGGUGAGGUUCUGUCCAUUAUCAUCAUGGUGGGGAGCAGGCAGACAUGAUGCUAGCUACAUCUUGAUCAGAAGGCAACAGGAAGUGGACUGUCUGUUGAACUGAGUGAAGCUUGAACAAAAGAGACCUCAAAGCCUGCCCCUACAGUGACACACUUCCUCCAAUAAGGCCACACCACUUCAGCAAGGCUACACCCACUUCAACAAGGCCACACUUCCUAAUAUUGCCACUCCCCUUUGGAAUUAUGGGUACCAGAUGCAUUCAAACUACCACAGUAGUCAAACAAAUGAACUUACGGGGCCAUCCUCAUUCAAACCACCAUAGUAUAUUCAGGAGAGGACAUUGGAUCUGCUGGAACUACAAUUACAGGCAGUUGUUAGCUACCACAUGGGUGCUGGGAAUCAAACCUGGGUAAUCUGCAAAGUAAAAAGCGCUCUUAAUAGCUGAGCCAUAUCUCUAUCCCCAAGGCUAUUUAAAUUAGGUGAUGACUAACCCCCUGAAGACAGAACACACCAGUGACUCUUCUGAGAUGAUUAGAGAGAUAGUAACUUUUGUUAUUUUGAUUUUUUUUGAAACAUGGUCUCACUAUGUAGUCUUGAUCUCAUAAUCCUCCUGCCUCAGCACCCACCACCCCAAGUGCUGGGAUUAUGGGUGUACACCAUUGUGCCCACCUGCCAGUAACAUUCUUUAAUUUGAAGGAAUCCCAAAAUAUCAACACUUUGACAGAGAUUUUCUCCAGUACCAUGUUUUCUAAGAGGGAGGACCAUACUUUUUUUAAAUCUUCAAACACUGUAGGUCUACCACAGUGUAUAAUCUGUGAUUGUGCCUUGUCCAUUUAUUAGCUAUCUGCUCCCAAUCCCCACUCUUUCAUUGCUUUGCAACACUGGAGCAGGACUCUGCAAAUGUUUCUCCUCCACCAGUGUCGUAAAGUUUGUCAGUAGAGGGCGCUGGAGGGACACUGUCAGAAGGGCUUUUCGUUUGGUUCUGGGGCUUCCCUUCUUGCUGGGUGCAGUGCUCAUGGAGGUGCACAGUUUCUGGCAAGCUAUUACGGUCCAGAAAGUUGCAUCGACAGAGCUUCGCCAGCACUCUGAUUGGAAGCUUCCUGAAGCACUAUCCAGUGGGCUGUAGACAUGUCUUCCCAGUGCAGCACACAUCUCUUCCUUGAGAGGAC
RNAcentral lists this long non-coding RNA (4413 nucleotides) under Cricetulus griseus (Chinese hamster). Its description in RNAcentral is "lncRNA (ENSCGRG00000025154.1)". The record is from RNAcentral. Lineage: Eukaryota; Metazoa; Chordata; Mammalia; Rodentia; Cricetidae.